Long non-coding RNA from Monomorium pharaonis (pharaoh ant), 1795 nucleotides. RefSeq lists it as uncharacterized. Lineage: Eukaryota; Metazoa; Arthropoda; Insecta; Hymenoptera; Formicidae. The record is from RefSeq and is a predicted model, not a curated record. The transcript is spliced from 2 exons.
ACGCUCGCUCGCUCGCUCGCUCUAACACGCCCGUCGUACCAGCAGUCUCUCUUUCUCGCGCACCCCCGCGACGCACCACCAGCAGCUUGGACCACCACCCUCUCUUAUCGAUUCCUGCGCCAUUCCGCCUCCCGUCAUUCCUGUCAAAUCAAUAAGCACCGCGCCGGCUUUCUCGCUGCCGCCGCUGGGAUAGAAGCGGCAUCGAGAUGCGAAACCCUCUCUGGCUGGGGUAGCGCGCAGGACAUGAGAGAGGGCGAACCCUGGACCAGGUGGCGGGAGCUGCCAUGAAGCAUCAACCGCCUGGAGAUGGUGAUCCUGUCGUUUAACUGGAUCCUGCGGAAGAAGGGCAGCGCAGAGUGCUGACAUGGCUCUAAAGGAGGUUCACAGAUGAAUGGUGAAUUAGGGAUGAAGAAAGGAGAGAAGGGAAAAGCAGAGAGAGAAAGGAGGAGUAGAUAGGAUGAACAGAGAAGCUAGAGUACAGAUCUUGUUAAUUCUAUGCACAUGCAUAUACAGAACAGAAGAAAGACAAUAUAACGAAAGAAAUAAAUGGAAGAAAAUGAAAGAAGAAAAUAAAUCGUACAGUAAAGCCUUAUUGUGCAUUUCUUGGAAAUCUUAGAACAUUAUAUAGACGACUAGAACUUCUGUUGCAACUAUGCAGAAUAUUAAAUGAAAUGAAAGAAUACUAAAGAUGUGCAUAAAUGUGUUCAGAUAAAGGCGAACUAUUAAUCAAGAUUAAAAUUAUUCAUAGAAGUUUUAUUCUUAGUUUUACUUAACAGAUAUUAUGAAGAAAAUAUAUUUGCAAACUAUUAAUUGGUAUGAUUAUUAGUGUUUAUCAAAGUAAAUAGAGGAAAUAAAAGGGAAUGAAAGAAGAUGAUGAGACGAGAGUUAGUUGGCCGAUAGUCAACAUGGAGCACGAGAGAUUGGAGAUGGUGUAUCAGGUGAAAAUUGUAGAACGAAUAAGAGUGGAGGAAUUAUCGAAGUACUAGUAGUGGUGUAUGAAGAACGUUUGAGAUUACUCUGAGUCAGAGGAGCUCUAUGGAUGUUGCACUUACUGAAGCACUGGAAUGAAAAGAAUUAAGGAUCUGUGAACCAGAGAGUUUCAAAAAUUCUUGGAAUGUGAGACGAGCACUAAAUAAUUUAGAAGAUCUCGAGAAUCUAGAAUUUAAAGAAUCCGGAUUCUGAAGUGGUUACUUUGCAACAAAUAUGAGGGCUAGACUAACCGGGGUACGAGGAAUAUAAAAACACGAGCGUCUAGGAUUCGAGGUAGCUGUAAUAAUUUAUGAGUUCCAGUAUCCAAGAUUCAAGAAAGAUCUAAGAUCGAGAAAGUUCAUACCUAAUGAUAUCACAUUAUUUUAAAAAGUUAAAAUCUACAAACUGAAUUUAGACAAAUCUAUGAAACUCUGAUUUAUUUGUGAUUUAUUUGAGACUAAAAUUCUUGCUAAUUUUAAUUGCAAUAAUUAGAGUUUGAUACUUUCCAUCAUCUAUUAUUCCGUUAGCAAGAAAAGACGGGCUUGCUUCUUCCUGCAGAAUUCAAUCUAAUUAUUGUUGUUUGCGCAACUUGGACUCCUUGGAGAUUUAUCAUCAUCAUAUCUUCUUACCUGCUAGUCAAUUUUACAGCGAAUUGUCGUCAUGAAGUUUCAUUUCUAAAUUUAAACACACAAAAGAUUACACAGCCUGCAAAAGCCAUUUAUAACUGACACAGCUGUUUUAUGUCAGUGAAUUUGUUCGAGAUCGAGUGUCGCAAUACAUUCCGAAAUGAUCAUAAUCGUCUGAUAAAUAAUAAAGUUAAUGAAAA